AGCACCUACGGGGGGCAGCAGUGGGGAAUAUUGCACAAUGGGGGAAACCCUGAUGCAGCGACGCCGCGUGAGUGAAGAAGUAUUUCGGUAUGUAAAGCUCUAUCAGCAGGGAAGAAGAAAGACGGUACCUGACUAAGAAGCCCCGGCUAACUACGUGCCAGCAGCCGCGGUAAUACGUAGGGGGCAAGCGUUAUCCGGAUUUACUGGGUGUAAAGGGAGCGUAGACGGCAGCGCAAGUCUGGAGUGAAAUGCCGGGGCUCAACCCCGGAACUGCUUUGGAAACUGUGCAGCUAGAGUGCGGGAGG
Molecule: ribosomal RNA, 305 nt
Filed under: uncultured bacterium
Lineage: Bacteria
Description: bacterial SSU rRNA
Rfam family: Bacterial small subunit ribosomal RNA
Source: RNAcentral